GGGUCGGCAAGGGCACGUGGCGAGCCCAGCGGUCUGUAAAACCGUAGCGAAAGCUGUGGGGGUUCGACUCCCUCCCGGCCCACCA
RNAcentral lists this transfer RNA (85 nucleotides) under Chloroflexota bacterium. Its description in RNAcentral is "Chloroflexi bacterium tRNA-Tyr". It matches the Rfam family "tRNA". Rfam says of the family: Transfer RNA (tRNA) molecules are approximately 80 nucleotides in length. Their secondary structure includes four short double-helical elements and three loops (D, anti-codon, and T loops). RNAcentral also lists the same sequence under 1 other name. The record is from RNAcentral. Lineage: Bacteria; Bacillati; Chloroflexota.